This 240-nucleotide unclassified non-coding RNA is filed under the name uncultured fungus. RNAcentral describes it as "sequence contains ITS1". The record is from RNAcentral. Lineage: Eukaryota; Fungi.
GUAUUGAUUGCGUGUUAUCGCAAAAAUGGGGGUCAUUCUACACUUUUAAAAUAGGGGUUUGUGUGAAAACGCAAGCCCCCCUCCCGGAUCGGUUUGAUCCCAAAGGGUUGCCCACGCGGUGGUGCACAAAAGGGUGAGAUGGAUUGAGAGCACUCAGGCGUGCACGACCAAAAAGGUCAGCGACAACCUGAGCACCUCUGUGGUACGAUAAUGAUCCUUCCGCAGGUUCACCUACGGAAA